GACGAACGCUGGCGGCGUGCCUAAUACAUGCAAGUAGAACGCUGAAGGAGGAGCUUGCUUCUCCGGAUGAGUUGCGAACGGGUGAGUAACGCGUAGGUAACCUGCCUGGUAGCGGGGGAUAACUAUUGGAAACGAUAGCUAAUACCGCAUAACAGUAGAUAUUGCAUGAUAUCUGCUUGAAAGGUGCAAAUGCAUCACUACCAGAUGGACCUGCGUUGUAUUAGCUAGUUGGUGGGGUAACGGCUCACCAAGGCGACGAUACAUAGCCGACCUGAGAGGGUGAUCGGCCACACUGGGACUGAGACACGGCCCAGACUCCUACGGGAGGCAGCAGUAGGGAAUCUUCGGCAAUGGACGGAAGUCUGACCGAGCAACGCCGCGUGAGUGAAGAAGGUUUUCGGAUCGUAAAGCUCUGUUGUAAGAGAAGAACGAGUGUGAGAAGUGGAAAGUUCACACUGUGACGGAUUCUACCA
RNAcentral lists this ribosomal RNA (473 nucleotides) under Streptococcus sp. oral taxon 431. RNAcentral's name for it is "bacterial SSU rRNA". It matches the Rfam family "Bacterial small subunit ribosomal RNA", at positions 28 to 485 of the family's 1533-position model. Lineage: Bacteria; Bacillati; Bacillota; Bacilli; Lactobacillales; Streptococcaceae. The record is from RNAcentral.